GACAAUUUGGCCGAGUGGUUAAGGCGAUUGACUCGAAAUCAAUUGGGAUUUCCCGCGCAGGUUCAAAUCCUGCAGUUGUCG
This 81-nucleotide transfer RNA is filed under the name Puccinia graminis f. sp. tritici CRL 75-36-700-3. RNAcentral describes it as "tRNA-Ser (CGA) (tRNA-Ser-CGA-1-1, tRNA-Ser-CGA-1-2)". It matches the Rfam family "tRNA". From Rfam's summary of the family: Transfer RNA (tRNA) molecules are approximately 80 nucleotides in length. Their secondary structure includes four short double-helical elements and three loops (D, anti-codon, and T loops). Lineage: Eukaryota; Fungi; Basidiomycota; Pucciniomycetes; Pucciniales; Pucciniaceae. The record is from RNAcentral. RNAcentral also lists the same sequence under 1 other name.